AAGACCUUGCACUUUUGGAGCGGCCGAUGUCUGAUUAGCUAGUUGGUGGGGUAAUGGCCUACCAAAGCUUCGAUCAGUAGCUGGUCUGAGAGGACGGCCAGCCACACUGGGACUGAGACACGGCCCAGACUCCUACGGGAGGCAGCAGUGGGGAAUUUUGGACAAUGGGCGCAAGCCUGAUCCAGCCAUGCCGCGUGAGUGAAGAAGGCCUUCGGGUUGUAAAGCUCUUUCAGCCGGGAAGAAAAGGCUGCGACUAAUAAUCGCAGUUCAUGACGGUACCGGAAGAAGAAGCACCGGCUAACUACGUGCCAGCAGCCGCGGUAAUACGUAGGGUGCAAGCGUUAAUCGGAAUUACUGGGCGUAAAGCGUGCGCAGGUGGUUUUGUAAGUCAGAUGUGAAAGCCCCGGGCUCAACCUGGGAACU
This 423-nucleotide ribosomal RNA is filed under the name uncultured bacterium. RNAcentral describes it as "bacterial SSU rRNA". It matches the Rfam family "Bacterial small subunit ribosomal RNA", at positions 207 to 622 of the family's 1533-position model. The record is from RNAcentral.